Molecule: ribosomal RNA, 218 nt
Filed under: uncultured bacterium
Lineage: Bacteria
Description: partial 16S ribosomal RNA
Rfam family: Bacterial small subunit ribosomal RNA
Source: RNAcentral
UACAGAGGUCUCAAGCGUUGUUCGGAUUCAUUGGGCGUAAAGGGUGCGUAGGCGGCGCGGUAAGUCGGGUGUGAAAUCUCGGGGCUUAACUCCGAAACUGCAUUCGAUACUGCCGUGCUUGAGGACUGGAGAGGAGACUGGAAAUUUACGGUGUAGCGGUGAAAUGCGUAGAUAUCGUAAGGAAGACCAGUGGCGAAGGCGGGUCUCUGGACAGUUCC